GAAAAAAUAUGAAAAUUAAUUAUCAUGUUUCCAGAAAAUGCUGUAGAGAAACAACACAAUCUAAAUACCAAAAAAAAAGAGUUUUCAUUUAUGAGAAACCUAUUUUUGGCAAUAAUAAAACAAUGUAAAAAUUACAGCUGACCGUAUACAGAUUUGACCUUGCAACACUGUUGUUUUGGAAACAUUUUAUUCUUCAUACUUCCACAAAAGGUAAACUUUAAAGCCAAUAAUAAACUGUCAGUAAGAAUGAUGAAAUUUGUUUAUUGCAAUAUUUAAUAUUUAUAUGCACAACAACAAAAAAACAAGAGGCAUCAGUCCAUGAUUGCUGAUCAAAUAAGUCCCACAUAAAUAUGAUGAUUUCCAUGACUUGACCAUUUAAGAAUCAUGUCCCUAAAUUAUUAGAAACCAAAAUGUUUACAUCCAAUCAUCAUUCAUCAAUUCAUAAUUAUAAGCCAUUAUAGUUAACUUUGUCGCAAGUUAGCUAAGAAUACAUAUUUAUAUACUUUUUAGUGACCUCAAUAUCAAAAGAUGUCUUUUCACCCCAAGGCACAUUAUCCAUCAAAGAUUGGUAAAGAUCUGAUAAUAGCUUAAAAUUUAGCUGAGGAACAAUUUGAAUUUAACCAGAUUAUUACAGGGAAUGGCUGAAACAUUCAAUGAACAUCCUUAAUUAGUCACAUAUUCUUAUUAAAAGUUAUUCAUAAAUUUUAACAUUGCAUGAUUCACAUAUAUAUUUGCACUGUAAACAUGAUCUCACCUCAUAAUUUUUUUACAAGUUACGCUUUUUCAGAGAGUGAAUACAAAUAUUUUUUCUUGACAGCAUAAUAUUUUCAUGAUAUAUGCUUUCUGUUAUCAAAUCAGUUUUUGGAGAUUAAUCUUCUUCACAUUUUAUAAAUACACCACAGAAAAAUAUCCUAAAGUGGUACAUUGGGAAAUUUAUAUACGGUGAAGAUAACUUUACAUAUCGAUGUAGUCAACCUACAUGUGGAUCUUCCCUUGUAUUGAUUAGGACAACUGUAUUUAUGGAUAAAGUUGUCUAUGAAAGAAACAACUAGAGGCUCUAAAGAGCCUGUGUCGCUCACCUUGGUCUUGUGCAUAUUAAAUAAUGGACACGGA
Molecule: long non-coding RNA, 1113 nt
Filed under: Mytilus galloprovincialis (Mediterranean mussel)
Lineage: Eukaryota; Metazoa; Mollusca; Bivalvia; Mytilida; Mytilidae
Source: RNAcentral